Molecule: ribosomal RNA, 253 nt
Filed under: uncultured bacterium
Lineage: Bacteria
Description: partial 16S ribosomal RNA
Rfam family: Bacterial small subunit ribosomal RNA
Source: RNAcentral
UACGGGGGGUGCGAGCGUUGUCCGGAAUUAUUGGGCGUAAAGGGCUCGUAGGCGGUUUGUCGCGUCGGGAGUGAAAACCAGGUGCUUAACACCUGGCUUGCUUUCGAUACGGGCAGACUAGAGGUAUGCAGGGGAGAACGGAAUUCCUGGUGUAGCGGUGAAAUGCGCAGAUAUCAGGAGGAACACCGGUGGCGAAGGCGGUUCUCUGGGCCUUACCUGACGCUGAGGAGCGAAAGCGUGGGGAGCAAACAGG